GAUGAACGCUAGCGGCAGGCCUAAUACAUGCGAGCCAAGGGCUGUCUGGUGUAGCACUUCCUCAAACAACCGGCGGACGGGUGCGUAACGCGUAUGCAACCUACCCUAUACAGGAGGAUAGCCCUCGGAAACGAGGAUUAAUACUCCAAAAGAUUGCUUAGAGGCAUUUUUAAGCAAUUAAAGUCGCAAGGCGGUAUAGGAUGGGCGCGCGUCCGAUUAGCUAGAUGGUGAGGUAACGGCUCACCAAGGCGAUGUUCGGUAGGGGUUCUGAGAGGAAGAUCCCCCGCACGGGCACUGAGACCCGGGCCCCACUGCUACGGGAGGCAGCAGUAAGGAGUAUUGUACAAUGGGUGAAAGUCUGAUCCAGCCAUGCCGGGUGCAGGAAGAAGGCCCUAGGGGUGGUAAUCUGCUUUUGAGAGGGAGAAGUAGGGGAGAUGCGUCGCUCGAUGAUAGUACUUCUCGAAUAAGCAUCGGCUAACUUCGUG
Molecule: ribosomal RNA, 485 nt
Filed under: uncultured bacterium
Lineage: Bacteria
Description: partial 16S ribosomal RNA
Rfam family: Bacterial small subunit ribosomal RNA
Source: RNAcentral